Molecule: non-coding RNA, 118 nt
Organism: Chelonoidis abingdonii (Abingdon island giant tortoise)
Lineage: Eukaryota; Metazoa; Chordata; Testudines; Testudinidae
Source: RefSeq, a predicted model, not a curated record
UGGGCCUGCAAACACUGUAACGUAGCAAUUUCCACUUACUUAUAUCCAGGCUGGAGGGGGCAUCCAAUGUGAAAGGUGCCUACUGGUGGAAUCUCUCAGGCAGCAGGUGGGAAAGCUA